AUUUAUAUAGUUUAAUAAAAACAUUACAUUUUCACUGUAAAAAUAAAAUAUUUUUUUAUAAAUU
This 64-nucleotide transfer RNA is filed under the name Morophaga formosana. Its description in RNAcentral is "tRNA-Glu". The record is from RNAcentral. Lineage: Eukaryota; Metazoa; Arthropoda; Insecta; Lepidoptera; Tineidae.